UACGUAGGUGGCAAGCGUUGUCCGGAAUUAUUGGGCGUAAAGCGCGCGCAGGUGGUUCUUUAAGUCUGAUGUGAAAGCCCCCGGCUCAACCGGGGAGGGUCAUUGGAAACUGGGGAACUUGAGUGCAGAAGAGGAUAGUGGAAUUCCAAGUGUAGCGGUGAAAUGCGUAGAGAUUUGGAGGAACACCAGUGGCGAAGGCGACUGUCUGGUCUGUAACUGACACUGAGGCACGAAAGCGUAGGGAUCAAACAGG
This 253-nucleotide ribosomal RNA is filed under the name uncultured bacterium. RNAcentral's name for it is "partial 16S ribosomal RNA". It matches the Rfam family "Bacterial small subunit ribosomal RNA", at positions 524 to 776 of the family's 1533-position model. The record is from RNAcentral.